This 429-nucleotide ribosomal RNA is filed under the name bacterium. Its description in RNAcentral is "partial 16S ribosomal RNA". It matches the Rfam family "Bacterial small subunit ribosomal RNA", at positions 355 to 776 of the family's 1533-position model. The record is from RNAcentral.
UAGGGAAUCUUCGGCAAUGGGGGCAACCCUGACCGAGCAACGCCGCGUGAGUGAAGAAGGUUUUCGGAUCGUAAAGCUCUGUUGUAAGAGAAGAACGUGUGUGAGAGUGGAAAGUUCACACAGUGACGGUAACUUACCAGAAAGGGACGGCUAACUACGUGCCAGCAGCCGCGGUAAUACGUAGGUCCCGAGCGUUGUCCGGAUUUAUUGGGCGUAAAGCGCGCGCAGGCGGUUUAAUAAGUCUGAAGUUAAAGGCAGUGGCUUAACCAUUGUUCGCUUUGGAAACUGUUAAACUUGAGUGCAGAAGGGGAGAGUGGAAUUCCAUGUGUAGCGGAGAAAUGCGUAGAUAUAUGGAGGAACACCGGUGGCGAAAGCGGCUCUCUGGUCUGUAACUGACGCUGAGGCUCGAAAGCGUGGGGAGCAAACAGG